RNAcentral lists this ribosomal RNA (1542 nucleotides) under Salmonella enterica. RNAcentral describes it as "bacterial SSU rRNA". It matches the Rfam family "Bacterial small subunit ribosomal RNA". Lineage: Bacteria; Pseudomonadati; Pseudomonadota; Gammaproteobacteria; Enterobacterales; Enterobacteriaceae. The record is from RNAcentral. RNAcentral also lists the same sequence under 1 other name.
AAAUUGAAGAGUUUGAUCAUGGCUCAGAUUGAACGCUGGCGGCAGGCCUAACACAUGCAAGUCGAACGGUAACAGGAAGCAGCUUGCUGCUUUGCUGACGAGUGGCGGACGGGUGAGUAAUGUCUGGGAAACUGCCUGAUGGAGGGGGAUAACUACUGGAAACGGUGGCUAAUACCGCAUAACGUCGCAAGACCAAAGAGGGGGACCUUCGGGCCUCUUGCCAUCAGAUGUGCCCAGAUGGGAUUAGCUUGUUGGUGAGGUAACGGCUCACCAAGGCGACGAUCCCUAGCUGGUCUGAGAGGAUGACCAGCCACACUGGAACUGAGACACGGUCCAGACUCCUACGGGAGGCAGCAGUGGGGAAUAUUGCACAAUGGGCGCAAGCCUGAUGCAGCCAUGCCGCGUGUAUGAAGAAGGCCUUCGGGUUGUAAAGUACUUUCAGCGGGGAGGAAGGUGUUGCGGUUAAUAACCGCAGCAAUUGACGUUACCCGCAGAAGAAGCACCGGCUAACUCCGUGCCAGCAGCCGCGGUAAUACGGAGGGUGCAAGCGUUAAUCGGAAUUACUGGGCGUAAAGCGCACGCAGGCGGUCUGUCAAGUCGGAUGUGAAAUCCCCGGGCUCAACCUGGGAACUGCAUUCGAAACUGGCAGGCUUGAGUCUUGUAGAGGGGGGUAGAAUUCCAGGUGUAGCGGUGAAAUGCGUAGAGAUCUGGAGGAAUACCGGUGGCGAAGGCGGCCCCCUGGACAAAGACUGACGCUCAGGUGCGAAAGCGUGGGGAGCAAACAGGAUUAGAUACCCUGGUAGUCCACGCCGUAAACGAUGUCUACUUGGAGGUUGUGCCCUUGAGGCGUGGCUUCCGGAGCUAACGCGUUAAGUAGACCGCCUGGGGAGUACGGCCGCAAGGUUAAAACUCAAAUGAAUUGACGGGGGCCCGCACAAGCGGUGGAGCAUGUGGUUUAAUUCGAUGCAACGCGAAGAACCUUACCUGGUCUUGACAUCCACGGAAGAAUUCAGAGAUGGAUUUGUGCCUUCGGGAACCGUGAGACAGGUGCUGCAUGGCUGUCGUCAGCUCGUGUUGUGAAAUGUUGGGUUAAGUCCCGCAACGAGCGCAACCCUUAUCCUUUGUUGCCAGCGAUUCGGUCGGGAACUCAAAGGAGACUGCCAGUGAUAAACUGGAGGAAGGUGGGGAUGACGUCAAGUCAUCAUGGCCCUUACGACCAGGGCUACACACGUGCUACAAUGGCGCAUACAAAGAGAAGCGACCUCGCGAGAGCAAGCGGACCUCAUAAAGUGCGUCGUAGUCCGGAUUGGAGUCUGCAACUCGACUCCAUGAAGUCGGAAUCGCUAGUAAUCGUGGAUCAGAAUGCCACGGUGAAUACGUUCCCGGGCCUUGUACACACCGCCCGUCACACCAUGGGAGUGGGUUGCAAAAGAAGUAGGUAGCUUAACCUUCGGGAGGGCGCUUACCACUUUGUGAUUCAUGACUGGGGUGAAGUCGUAACAAGGUAACCGUAGGGGAACCUGCGGUUGGAUCACCUCCUUA